GGCUAAUCUAAUCUAAUUAAACUUCCUUUCUGGAUCCCUGACUCAUUGUGAUUAAUUGGUCUCAGAUCGAGGGGAGCAGAGCCAGCCCAUUGCUGGAUAUCAAUGCUGGUGACCCAGAUGGGACCACAGCCUCUGCCGGUGGCUCGUCGACUUGGAGGAAGCUGUUUGGGGAUUUUUCCCCACAGCUGCUGGCAGCUUUUUCUUUCCCUUUUUUCCGCCCAGGAUAUUCCCCUUGUGGCUGCCUCACUAGCCGACUGCCUCGGGCAAAGAAUGACUGAUCCUAAGCUGAGGAGCUUGCGUCUGCAGCCAGGGGAGUCAUCCGGCCUCCACCUCCCAGGCACAGGCUGACCACAGGCGAGAAACACACCUACAAGGUAUCCAUUGCAGCUGACGGGAAGAAUGGAGCAAUGUGAUGCCUGGAGCCCAGCAUCCCUGGACCCCUCCUCAUGGCCCAUUUUCCCUCUCUAACUGCCUCAAGAUUCUGGAGUCCUUGCAGAUGGCUUUUUGAGACAUUAGUCACCUGUCUUCUGAUCUGCCAGCUGAUCUGAUCUAAUUAGACUUCCUCUCUCGAUCCCUAACUCACUGUGAUUCAUUGGCUCAGAUCACAGCAAGCAGGGGCUUCCAGUCUCAGAUUGUUUUGCCCCAGUGCUGUCCUGGAACUUCUCUGCUGGACUCCUUGACUCCCACGAGGGCCCUCUCCUCCACAGGUUACAGCGUUGCUGGUCCAGUCUGACCUGCUGACUCUGCCCACUACACGGUGGCUUUUGCAACUGUCUUCAGUCUGACGGUGAAGCACCUUUUAUUGCAAACUCACUCAACACUGGACUAACAGUCCAGGUGGGCCUUCCCUGCUCCC
This 856-nucleotide long non-coding RNA is filed under the name Equus asinus (donkey). Its description in RNAcentral is "lncRNA (ENSEASG00005024282.1)". The record is from RNAcentral. Lineage: Eukaryota; Metazoa; Chordata; Mammalia; Perissodactyla; Equidae.